GAUGAACGCUGGCGGCGUGCUUAACACAUGCAAGUCGAACGAAGCACUUUAUUUGAUUUCCUUCGGGACUGAUUAUUUUGUGACUGAGUGGCGGACGGGUGAGUAACGCGUGGGUAACCUGCCUUGUACAGGGGGAUAACAGUUGGAAACGGCUGCUAAUACCGCAUAAGCGCACAGCAUCGCAUGCGGCAGUGUGAAAAACUCCGGUGGUAUAAGAUGGACCCGCGUUGGAUUAGCUAGUUGGUGAGGUAACGGCCCACCAAGGCGACGAUCCAUAGCCGACCGGAGAGGGGGACCGGCCACAUUGGGAAUAGGACACGGCCCCAACUCCUACGCGAGGCAGCAGUGGGGAAUAUUGCACAAUGGGCGAAAGUGUGAUGCAGCGACGCCGCGUGAGCGAAGAAGUAUUUCGGUAUGUAAAGCUCUAUCAGCAGGGAAGAUAAUGACGGUACCUGACUAAGAAGCACCGGCUAAAUACGUG
Molecule: ribosomal RNA, 481 nt
Filed under: uncultured bacterium
Lineage: Bacteria
Description: partial 16S ribosomal RNA
Rfam family: Bacterial small subunit ribosomal RNA
Source: RNAcentral